CAAAGAUUAAGCCAUGCAUGUCUAAGUAUAAACAAAUUUAUACAGUGAAACUGCGAAUGGCUCAUUAAAUCAGUUAUAAUUUAUUUGAUAUUCACUUACUACUUGGAUAACCGUGGUAAUUCUAGAGCUAAUACAUGCGUACAUAACCUCGACUUCUGGAAGAGGUGCACUUAUUAGAUAAAAAGCCAACGCGGGCAACCGCUUGUAUGGUGAUUCAUAAUAAUUAAGCGAAUCGCAUGGCCUUGUGCCGGCGAUGAUGCAUUCAAAUUUCUGCCCUAUCAAGUUUCGAUGGUAGGUUAGUGGCCUACCAUGCUUUUAACGGGUAACGGGGAAUUAGGGUUCGAUUCCGGAGAGGGAGCCUGAGAAACGGCUACCACAUCCAAGGAAGGCAGCAGGCGCGCAAAUUACCCAAUCCCGACACGGGGAGGUAGUGACAAUAAAUAACAAUACAGGGCCUUUACGGGUCUUGUAAUUGGAAUGAGUACAAUUUAAAUCCCUUAACGAGGAACAAUUGGAGGGCAAGUCUGGUGCCAGCAGCCGCGGUAAUUCCAGCUCCAAUAGCGUAUAUUAAAGUUGUUGCAGUUAAAAAGCUCGUAGUUGAAUUUUGGCCUUGGGUGGUUUGGUUUGGCCUUCAUUGGUCAAUGCCUUUUCCGCCUAGGUCUUACCUUCUGGGUUAGCUAGUGUCACUUCGGUGGCGCUAGUGAACCAGAACUUUUACUUUGAAAAAAUUGGAGUGUUUAAAGCAGGCUUUCAAGCCUGAACAUAUUAGCAUGGAAUAAUGAAAUAGGACUUUGGCCUUAUUUCGUUGGUUUCUAAAGCCAAAGUAAUGAUGAAUAGGGAUAGUUGGGGACAUUAGUAUUCAAUUGUCAGAGGUGAAAUUCUUGGAUUUAUUGAAGACUAACUUCUGCGAAAGCAUUUGUCAAGGAUGUUUUCAUUAAUCAAGAACGAAAGUUAGGGGAUCGAAGACGAUCAGAUACCGUCGUAGUCUUAACCAUAAACUAUGCCGACUAAGGAUCGGAUGGUGUUAUAUUUUAUAUUGACCCAUUCGGCAUUUCAGCGAAAGCCAAGUUUUUGGGUUCCGGGGGGAGUAUGGUCGCAAGGCUGAAACUUAAAGG
RNAcentral lists this ribosomal RNA (1115 nucleotides) under Umbelopsis ramanniana. RNAcentral describes it as "SSU rRNA". It matches the Rfam family "Eukaryotic small subunit ribosomal RNA", at positions 38 to 1150 of the family's 1831-position model. The record is from RNAcentral. Lineage: Eukaryota; Fungi; Mucoromycota; Umbelopsidomycetes; Umbelopsidales; Umbelopsidaceae.